Molecule: ribosomal RNA, 301 nt
Filed under: uncultured bacterium
Lineage: Bacteria
Description: partial 16S ribosomal RNA
Rfam family: Bacterial small subunit ribosomal RNA
Source: RNAcentral
CAGUAGCCGCGGUAAUACGUAGGUGGCAAGCGUUGUCCGGAAUUAUUGGGCGUAAAGCGCGCGCAGGUGGUUUAAUAAGUCUGAUGUGAAAGCCCACGGCUCAACCGUGGAGGGUCAUUGGAAACUGUUAAACUUGAGUGCAGGAGAGAAAAGUGGAAUUCCUAGUGUAGCGGUGAAAUGCGUAGAGAUUAGGAGGAACACCAGUGGCGAAGGCGGCUUUUUGGCCUGUAACUGACACUGAGGCGCGAAAGCGUGGGGAGCAAACAGGAUUAGAUACCCCUGUAGUCCCUGUCUCUUAUAA